Molecule: non-coding RNA, 177 nt
Organism: Bacillus cereus Rock4-18
Lineage: Bacteria; Bacillati; Bacillota; Bacilli; Caryophanales; Bacillaceae
Source: Rfam
UGCUAAACCUGUUAGGUGAGGCUCCUAUACAAACACAGGCUAUUGCCCAAAAAUGUCGAAAGACGCCAAUGGGUAGAACAGGAAUUGUCGGAUUAAGGCUCUUCUUAAGAUAGCUAAGUAAUGAAUUUCCAUUACUUUACGUUGUAUAGUGCCAAAGCUCUACUAGGGGGAGAAAAG